This is a non-coding RNA of Podarcis lilfordi (Lilford's wall lizard), 75 nucleotides long. Lineage: Eukaryota; Metazoa; Chordata; Lepidosauria; Squamata; Lacertidae. The record is from the annotation of a GenBank genome assembly.
GCUUCCUGUCAGCUCAGUCAGUAGAGCAUGGGACUCUUAGUCUCAGGGUUGUGGGUUCGAGUUCCACAUUGGGCA